This 15022-nucleotide long non-coding RNA is filed under the name Triticum aestivum (bread wheat). Its description in RNAcentral is "long non-coding RNA (TAES_LNC018702)". The record is from RNAcentral. Lineage: Eukaryota; Viridiplantae; Streptophyta; Magnoliopsida; Poales; Poaceae.
GAUGGAUGGAGCUUGUGGCCCAGCUUGGUAAAUCUGAGCUUACUGUUUGGUUUUCGGUUGCUGCUGCUGAAUGUGGGUGGUGUGGAUCAUCAGUUUUGGGGGCCUGAUUGCUGCCUUGGCUUGUUUUGCACUCAAAAGAAGUGUUGUUGGCUGACUCUUAUUAGCUUGAGGUGUGAUUGAAGAAGGUCAUGAAGCUUGAGGCAAUGAAGAUGAUGGAUGGACCCGUUCGUUGAUUAGUUAGGUCUUUUCAUAAUUGUGAAUAGUAGCAAACAAAUGAUAGGUUGGUUUGUUUGUCGUGGAACAUGUCGGUUUGGAGUAGCAAGUAACUAGCUAGCUCUUGAGAUUAAAAUCCUGGUAUCUCACAGUUGUACUGCUCACACAAUAUAUUGGUGAUAUCUCAGUUAUAAUACCAUACACAAUUGUUAUGGUCCUCAAUCUCCGGCUACCAAACGUGUUAUGCUGCCGAAAUUUCCAGAAGAAAUUCCUCCGACUUGUUAAAAUUUUGGCCUUGUUUGUAAGGAAAGAAAACCUUUAGGGUGUUGACUGCUUCAAGUUUUCAAAAUCUAGGGGGUUUGAGGUAGAUAAAUUGGUCUCUUUUGUCGACUUCCGGAGUUCUAGGGGGCUUCUAUGACAGUUCUUCGCCCACAAAUCUUCCGGGGUGCGAUUGACAUCCAAAUAUGAUGUAGAGGUCCAACAAAAUACCAAUACUUUCACAAAAUGUACCCAUUUUUCAAUUUUAUUCAUAAAUUUCGAAAGUGCUUGAGUUUCAAAUUAUGUUGACAUUUGAAAAAAUAAUUUUAGAAAAUGUUCCCAUUUUUAUAAAAACAUCAUAGAUACAAAGAUUGUUUACUUUUUCCAAAAAAUGUUCGUGUUUUUAAAAAAAUAAAAAAUUCUUCCUUUUUUACUAUUUUUUCAUAAAUGCACAAAAGUGUUUAAGUUUUUGAAUAAUCUUAGCAUUUUUCACAAUUAUUUAGAAAAUUAAAAAAGUUCCUUUUUUCAAGUUUUGUCCCAAUUUAAAAAAUGUUUGAACUUCUCAAAAAAGUUCAAAAAUUUGCUCGCGUUGUUUAGAAAGGAUAUUUAAAAGAUAUUUACCUUUGAAAAAAUUAUUCUUAUUUUGGCAGGAAAUUUUCAACAGUGUUAGGACCCGCCAAGUAAUUCAGUUCUUAAACUAUCAUGUUGCAUAGUCAUCACUUAUACCUGUCAAGGCAAUUGGCUACCUGUAGCACGCACUCAUCUUGUCAGGAGUUCUAUUCCUGUUGGAAGAAGCAUUUUUUGGAUUUUUACAUCGCACAAGUACGGAUCACGGUCGCCGCAUCACUCGCCCACGAGCAGCAGUCAAGGGUUCUGCAUGUGCGUCGGCGCCCUAUUUGUAGGAAAAUACGACACAUAGGAGCUCCCGGCAAUUAGUCAUGCAGAUCCUAAAUUAUUCAAGUGACUAACUUUUANNNNNNNNNNNNNNNNNNNNNNNNNNNNNNNNNNNNNNNNNNNNNNNNNNNNNNNNNNNNNNNNNNNNNNNNNNNNNNNNNNNNNNNNNNNNNNNNNNNNNNNNNNNNNNNNNNNNNNNNNNNNNNNCUUGGAUCCGUCCCUAAGCCUACAUACUGCUCGACAAUGUGAGAACGAAGGUGAUGGCAUGCUUGGAGUAAGCCUAGUUGGUCGGGCGCCCCACCGGUACUCGUAUAGGCUUGUUGGUUCACUCCCAAUUCAUUGGCUUUCAACAUGUCAUCCAAAAAAAUUAGAGACGUCCACCCCAAUGCAUUAUCUCUUAGGUGUUCUAUCCAACUAAUGUCACAUUUAAUUAGUUUAGGCAUAUAUUUGCAGUUCGACAUUUUGGUUUAGAUGUGAAGAGAAGAGAAGGGAAUGAGAGAAAGAUAGGAAGAGAUACCACAACAUAUCAGAGUAGAAUUAUCCUCUCUCCCUUCUUUAACUAUGAUGCCACCUCAACAUUUUACCUAUAAAAUAUGCUAAACAAUAAGCAUUGGGCAUUGGGGAGUGCCCUUAGCGACCUAUGGUGGUCGGAUGCGGCAUAAGGUGUCAUGGAGCUAGGGGGACUUGGAGGACGUGGAGAGUCAAAGGAGUACCACACGUCCACACGGAGGUGGAUGCCAAGGUAGAUGUGGAACCCUAGCCAGUACNNNNNNNNNNNNNNNNNNNNNNNNNNNNNNNNNNNNNNNNNNNNNNNNNNNNNNNNNNNNNNNNNNNNNNNNNNNNNNNNNNNNNNNNNNNNNNNNNNNNNNNNNNNNNNNNNNNNNNNNNNNNNNNNNNNNNNNNNNNNNNNNNNNNNNNNNNNNNNNNNNNNNNNNNNNNNNNNNNNNNNNNNNNNNNNNNNNNNNNNNNNNNNNNNNNNNNNNNNNNNNNNNNNNNNNNNNNNNNNNNNNNNNNNNNNNNNNNNNNNNNNNNNNNNNGCCAAACAUAUUAGUGCUAAACACGUUAGGCUAUAAACAUUAUGGCAACCUAUCAAAGGCAUUUCGAUCGUUUGGAUUUAUGGAAUUGCUGCCUUUUAGAUUAUUUAUUUAUUCCAUCUCUCUACACGACUAACAAAAUUCUAGCCGAAAAUCGUCAUUUGCAUAAUCCCAAGCCUCGGUAAAAUGUUGACGACCCUAAAAAGGGUCAAUCCAACCUCAACCUAUUCAAAGGGAAUCUCGCACCAUCCAGUGCUUGGAAACCAGUAUCGUUGGAUGUUGAAGAAUGGCGGACCAUUUCGUUGUAUCUCUUUAACAACCUAAUAGAAGUGCGGCUGUACAUCUAGUAAGAUCUCGGUACAAUGUUUCGCAACUUCUAAUUUCUUUGAACUGCUCUUAUUCCUGGAUAUUUGAUGCAGUCGAUACGUCGCCAUAUUCUCGUAUGGAACGGUGAUCCAAAAGGAUUCCUUCGAAGAGUAUGAGCUUCUGGCAAAGCAAGGAGGCGAAUAUCCCGGUUUCAUCUCUUGGUUCAAGAAAAUGGUAAUUUCCAUUAGACCCUUUCAUUUCUUUGACUAAUUUGCGACUAAUGCAACAAUCCUUUCGUGCUAAACUUGUAGGCUAAUUGAGAGAUUAUGGAUGCGAAUUGAGACAACUAGCUAAUGGUUUUGACUAUAAGGUCCGUUCAUUUGACAAUUACGACAUUAACGGGUAUUUCUUUUGUACCUAUGGAAAAGAACUAUCUAUGGCCGUCCGAAAGUCUACAAAUUGUUGUGUCUCUGCUAUCGGCGAAGGAGGUAUUGAGUAUUAUGGAAGACUUGAAGCAAUUUAUGAACUUCAAUUCUAUGGUGAAAACCCACCAAAUGUCGAGAUAGGCAGUCAUCCUCCAUUGUUUUCUCCUUGAUCUUUUUCUGUCAGCAACGACGCUGGUUGCAUACUCUCUCCCCUGUGUUUGUUUCAACUGGGCCGCGUUAUUCUGGGAGUCUAUGUUGCCUGCCUACCGAAAUUGCCACUACUUUGGGCCCUUCUUUGGUCUCCUUGAUUCGUGGUUGGCAUGCCAUUAGAUCCUGUGCUAACAAACACUGGACUUAUUUGUUUGUUCAAUUUGGAUCAGCACACUCGACUCCAUGGACGAUGGUCGGGACCCCAUGCCCAAGAUGACGAGGAGAACAUCAUCGUGUCCUACCUUGACAUGGAUGGCACCUCACACAAGGUUGAUUUCCUUCUUUGCUUGCAUUCAUAAAGGUUUCUUCUAGUACUGUGUAUGUAUGUAUGUAUAUAUGUUACAGAAUAAUAAGUAGCUCGGUAAGGAUUGGGUUGGGCUGCAUGCCUAGUUUGUAUUCUGCAUGGUUGUGAAUCAAAAGUACCAGGGCUAUGCUGGUUUGGGUGAGCUUUGUCAUGUGUUCGGUUUACUGCUUGAUUGGUGCCACUAGACAAAAUUAUGUAAUUUGCAUCAUGAGGUCUCAGGCUAGUCCAACUAUGGUAUCAAUUUGAAUCAUGAGAUUUGGUCUGGCUACAUGAUGCAUGUGUUCUUCCUGAUGGUCGCUUAGUACCUAACAAAUGAAGGAAUUCCCUCUUGUUCAAUGAUGCUAUAACUGAUAAACAUUCUGUGCAUUCAUUCGAAAGUGAGAGAGAUCUUCAUCUGUUUGUUGCAUAUAGCUUGAAGCUCGCUCAAGUUUCUUUUUUUGUGGUAGCGAGACGGCAGGAUCGACUGUCUGCUUAACAACUCUGGUGCUUUAUUAUUAUGGAUAAUGUUCAGCUACCUAUUUGCAUUUAUUGUUACGACAUUUUUGUGGUAGUAAGACGACAGGAUUGACUGUCUGCUUAACCACUCUGUAGUGUUUGAUUUCUCAGAUUAAACAUGGAUCACAAUCAUUAAGAUGUUUCUUCAUGUAGCACUGAGAAGAAUAGGCUUCUUGUGUCAGUAGCUUUUUCCUAUAAUGAUGAGUAGAAUAGGCUUCUUGUGGCUUUAGCAUGUUCCUGUAAUGCCGAGAACAAUAAGCUUCUUGUAGCUAUAGCAUUUUCCUAUAACACUGAGACAAACCUCCUUGUAGAUAUAGUUUUCUUGUAGUGCUGAGAACAAUAGACCUCCUUGUAGUUGUAGCUUUCCUGUAGUGCUGAGAACAAAUAAGAGUUGUGCUGAGAACAAGAAAUUCUUGGAUAAUAAUCGUGGUAACCUGCCGCUUUCCUUUUGAUGUUGAAAGAGGUAGAUCUACAGUUGUUUGCAUUGAUGUUGCCGCUCAGCUUUGCUAUGAUUUCAAUGAAGAUUAAUCAGUGUGGUCACCUAUUCUUUUAUUGGUUUAUGGUCUUGACAAAAUUAAUCCAAGGUAAUCAGAUCAAGUUAGUACUAUUUUGGGGUACCUGUUAUCUAUAUGUUUGGUUAUAUGAUAGUCAUCCCCAGUAAAACUAGGAAUACAAAUGAUGCCUGGCUGACUUACCAAUUACUUGAUUAUAUCUCUUUCAUUUACAAGAGACAAUAUUCAUUGUGUUCUUAACUCCCAAUGCUCUGUUUUCAUGUCUAGUUUUAUCACCACUGAACUAAUCGGUACCUUUGAGCGGAGCUCUCAGCUCAAUCCUCCCAUUAAUGAGCGAGCAGUAGGUUCUAUUAUGCAUGUUUUCACUACCAGCAACGAACUAUCUUUUUUGGGUAACUUGCUGUUUUUUAGCCUAUUAUGUGCAUGUUGUGCUGAUAAGGGAUUUGUCGGUUAUAUUUGUCUGGCCAGUCUAAUAUGUACUUCAGAAUCGCUUCUGUUAGAUUUCAACAUUUGUCCCAAGAUUUUUGGUGGCACAAACAAUGAUUGUUGUCAGUGUGUGAAAGGCUGACCUCCUGUUGAGCCCAAUGAUAGAACAACUAUCUAAUGGGUUGUAUUGUGUUCAAGGGUUCAUUUCACUGUGCUGCAAACAUCCAGAAUGCUUAUUUUCUUAUCUUCGGCGUAUAAUUUGUUGUAUUGUGUUGAUUUCAUCUAGAAUAAAUCGAGUUUUGUGAGACUAGGGUCUGUCUAUAUCCUGUGGAUACCUAUAUUUGCCGCCUUUUGUUUGCUUUGAAUGGGACACCACCUAAUAUUAUCAGUAAAUCGACUUCAUGAGUGCUAUUGUACUAGAUUUCUAAAACUGAGAGAAGGCCUAAUUCUAAUGUGGUGUGAUGCACUUUUUAGUUUUUUAGGAUUCUGGAAGAGUUUGACUUGACAGUCCUUAGUCAAUUCUAUUGCGUAUUGCAGAUUGACAUUCACUAUAAUCAUGGUGACUGUGCGUUGCAUUUUAGAUGUAUUGUCUAGUUCUUCUUUUAUAUUCCAACAAGUGUGAAUAAUAAUAGUUGUAAUCCACUUCUGGACUUUUUCUUCUUGGCUAAUAAUAUUUGUAUUGUUGCGUAGAACUGUAGUUGUAAGUUCACUUACAUCUUAGUAAGGAUGUAAUAUUAAGUCAGCAUUCAUUUAUUGAGUUUUUAAGUUUAGUGGAUUACAUUUACUUGAAUCUGCAUUUCAGGAUGUUGAGUUCGAUCAGAAUGACACCACAUUGCCACAUUGCUUUCAAACAGAAGCCUUUGUUGGCUGGGUAGGGCAAGGUGAACAUGCCUUCGAGGCACGACUCCAUGGACGAUGAGUGGGACCCCAUGUCCAAGCUUACAAGGAGGACAUCGUCAAGUCUGACCUCCACCUGGAUGGCGCUUCGCACAAGGUUGAUCUCCUUCUUUGCUUGCAUUCAUAAAUGUUUCUUCCUAUAGCACCGAGAAGAAUAGGCUUCUCGUGGCAGUAGCUUUUUCCUAUAAUGCUGAAAAGAAUAGACUUCUUGUAGCUUAAGCAUGUUCCUGCAAUGCUGACAACAAUAGACUUGUAGCUGUAGCAUCUUCAUAUAAUGCUGAAAAACCAAACCUCCCUACAGAUGUAGCUUUCUUCUAGUGUUGAGAACAAUAGACCUCUUUGUAGUUGUAGCUUUCCUCUAGUGUUGUGAACAAUAGACCUCCUUAUGGUUGUAGCUUUCCUCUAGUGCCGAGAACAAAUAAGAGUUGUGCUGAGAACAAUAAAUUCUUGGAUAACAUUCGUGGAAACCUGCUACUUUUCUUUUGAUGUACGCAAAUGAUGACACACAUGAAUAGCAAGCAACCAUCUUAGCACCUAUCUAUUUCAAAGAUGUUGUAUUUUUUUACUGGGUAUACGAUAUCAUUCUUGUGUUACAAAGUUCAUCUGUAAAAGUUGGGCUGCUUACUUUCUAGGAGCAGAUUCUGUAAUCUUUUCCUCUUCUUUUACCAGAAGUUGACUAGUUUUAUUACUGACAUGCCAAUAUUAUUCGGACGGUGACAGCCGACGACCCAGCUGGUGUGCCAUGGGAUUCUAUUCAUUCCAAGUUGCUACACCUUUGGCUCGGGCAUGUUCAACAUGGAUGGCAUCAGUUGAAUCUCGCUGAGCACCAGGGUGCAAGUACAUGGCUAUUGCCGGUAAGAAUUUCGCCCAAGCUUGAUUCUGAAAUUAUUAUUUGCCGAGAUAGGCAGUCAUCCUCCAUUGUUUUCUUCUUGAUCUUUUCUAUCAGCAACGAUGUUGGUUGCAUGCACUCGUGAGGAUCACCACCAUCAAGUCCACCUAUUGCGAGGUGACUACUCUCUCCCCCUGUGUUUGUUUCAACUUGGUCGCGUUAUUCUGGUAGUCUAUGUUGCCUGUCUACCGAAAUUGCCACUACUUUGGGCCCUUCUUUGGUCUCCUUGGUUUGUGGUUGGCAUGCCAUUAGAUCCUGUGUUAACAAACACUGAACAUGACAUGGUACCGCUGACAUCAUAGUUGACGUUGGUAAUUUUCUUGUGGUGUGGCCAUCAACCAAUGGAGUGCAUAUUUAGACUUUUAGGCUAUGUGAUUUUUCCUGCUAUAAAAUGUGUGUGGUGCAUAUUGUUAUUUUUGCUGCUCUGUAAAAUUUUACAUUGCUUUGGAAUGAUAUAUGGAGGCCACUAGUUAAUCUUGCUUCUUCCUCUUUCUCUGGCCAGGUCACUUGGAACUUUGAUAUAGCGAAGGGCGAGAAGACCGAUGGAUGGAGCUUGUGGCCCAUCUUGGUAAAUCUGAGCUUACUGUUUGGUUUUCGGUUGCUGCUGCUGAAUGUGGGUGGUGUGGAUCAUCAGUUUUGGGGGCAUGGUUGCUGCCUUGGCUUGUUUUGCACUCAAAAGAAGUGUUGUUGGCUGACUCUUAUUAGCUUGAGGUGUGAUUGAAGAAGGUCAUGAAGCUUGAGGCAAUGAAGAUGAUGGAUGGACCCGUUCGUUGAUUAGUUAGGUCUUUUCAUAAUUGUGAAUAGUAGCAAACAAAUGAUAGGUUGGUUUGUUUGUCGUGGAACAUGUCGGUUUGGAGUAGCAAGUAGCUAGCUAGCUCUUGAGAUUAAAAUCCUGGUAUCUCACAGUUGUACUGCUCACACAAUAUAUUGGUGAUAUCUCAGUGAUAAUACCAUACACAAUUGUUAUGGUCCUCAAUCUCUGGCUACCAAACGUGUUAUGCUGCCGAAAUUUCCAUCAGAAAUUCCUCCGACUUGUUAAAAUUUUGGCCUUGUUUGUAAGGAAACAAAACCUUUAGGGUGUUGACUGCUUCAAGUUUUCAAAAUCUAGGGGGUUUGAGGUAGAUAAAUUGGUCUCUUUUGUCGACUUCCGGAGUUCUAGGGGGCUUCUAUGACAGUUCUUCGCCCACAAAUCUUUCGGGGUGCCAUUGACAUCCAAAUAUGAUGUAGAGGUCCAACAAAAUACCAAUACUUUUAGAAAACGUACCCAUUUUUCAAUUUUAUUCAUAAAUUUCGAAAGUGCUUGAGUUUCAAAUUAUGUUGACAUUUAAAAAAAUAAUUUUAGAAAAUGUUCCCAUUUUUAUAAAAAAAUCAUAGAUACAAAGAUUGUUUACUUUUUCCAAAAAAUGUUCAUGUUUUCAAAAAAAUAGAAAAUUCUUCCUUUUUUACUAUUUUUUCAUAAAUGCACAAAAGUGUUUAAGUUUUUGAACAAUCUUAGCAUUUUUUACAAUUAUUUAGAAAUUUUAAAAAAAGUUCCUUUUUUCAAGUUUUGUCCCAAUUUAAAAAAUGUUUGAACUUCUCAAAAAAGUUCAAAAAUUUGCUCGCGUUGUUUAGAAAGGAUAUUUAAAAGAUAUUUAUCUUUGAAAAAAAUAUUCUUAUUUUGGCAGGAAAUUUUCAACAGUGUUAGGACCCGCCAAGUAAUUCAGUUCUUAAACUAUCAUGUUGCAUAGUCAUCACUUAUACCUGUCAAGGCAAUUGGCUACCUGUAGCACGCACUCAUCUUGUCUGGAGUUCUAUUCCUGUUGGAAGAAGCAUUUUUUGGAUUUUUACAUCGCACAAGUACGGAUCACGGUCGCCGCAACACUCGCCAACGAGCGGCCCAGUCAAGGGUUCUGCAUGUGCGUCGGCGCCCUAUUUGCAGGAAAAUACGACACAUAGGAGCUCCCGGCAAUUAGUCAUGCAGAUCCUAAAUUAUUCAAGUAACUAACUUUUAUUAAAGGAAGAAACAAAUUGAUGGAGGGGGCUCGCUCCUGCUAGCCCCCCCCCCCCAGUCCCCCUUGGCUCCGUCCCUAAGCCUACAUACAGCUCGACAAUGUGAGAACGAAGGCGAUGGCAUGCUUGGAGUAAGCCUAGUUGGUCGGACGCCCCACUGGUACUCGUGUAGGCUUGUUGGUUCACUCCCAAUUCAUUGGCUUUCAACAUGUCAUCCAAAAAAUUAGAGACGUCCACCCCAAUGCAUUAUCUCUUAGGUGUUCUAUCCAACUAAUGUCACAUUUAAUUAGUUUAGGCAUAUAUUUGCAGUUCGACAUUUUGGUUUAGAUGUGAAGAGAAGAGAAGGGAAUGAGAAAAAGAUAGGAAUAGAUACCACAACAUAUCAGAGUAGAAUUAUCCUCUCUCCCUUCUUUAACUAUGAUACCACCUCAACAUUUUACCUAUAAAAUAUGCUAAACGAUAAGCAUUGGGCAUUGGGGAGUGCCCUUAGCGACCUAUGGUGGUCGGAUGCGGCAUAAGGUGUCAUGGAGCUAGGGGGACUUGGAGGACGUGGAGAGUCAAAGGAGUACCACACGUCCACACGGAGGUGGAUGCCAAGGUAGAUGUGGAACCCUAGCCGGUACACACAUCUCUCUCUCUCCCUCCCUCUCUCUCUCUCUCUCUCUCUGGGGCACAAGAGGAGUAUUUGAUGUGGAGUGCCAAACAUAUUAGUGCUAAACACGUUAGGCUAUAAACAUUAAGGCAACCUAUCAAAGGCAUUUCGAUCGUUUGGAUUUAUGGAAUUGUUGCCUUUUAGAUUAUUUAUUUAUUCCAUCUCUCUACACGACUAACAAAAUUCUAGCCAAAAAUCGUCAUUUGCAUAAUCCCAAGCUUCGGUACAAUGUUGACGACCCUAAAAAGGGUCAAUCCAACCUCAACCUAUUCAAAGGGAAUCUCGCACCAUCCAGUGCUUGGAAACCAGCAUCGUUGGAUGUUGAAGAAUGGCGGACCAUUUCGUUGUAUCUCUUUAACAACCUAACAGAAGUGCGGCUGUACAUCGAGUAAGAUCUUGGUACAAUGUUUCGCAACUUCUAAUUUCUUUGAACUGCUCUUAUUCCUGGAUAUUUGAUGCAGUCGAUACGUCGCCAUAUUCUGGUAUGGAACGGUGAUCCAAAAGGAUUCCUUCGAAGAGUAUGAGCUUCUGGCAAAGCAAGGAGGCGAAUAUCCCGGUUUCAUCUCUUGGUUCAAGAAAACGGUAAUUUCCAUUAGACCCUUUCAUUUUUUUGACUAAUUUGCGACUAAUGCAACAAUCCUUUCGUAUUAAACUUGUAGGCUAAUUCAGAGAUUAUGGAUGCGAAUUGAGACAACUAGCUAAUGGUUUUGACUAUAAGGUCCGUUCAUUUGACAAUUACGACAUUAACAGGGUAUUUCUUUUGUACCUAUGGAAAAGAGCUAUCUUUGGCCGUCCGAAAGUCUACAAAUUGUUGUGUCUCUGCUCUCGGCGAAGGAGGUAUCGAGUAUUAUGGAAGAGUUGAAGCAAUUUAUGAACUUCAAUUCUAUGGUGAAAACCCACCAAAUGUCGAGAUAGGCAGUCAUCCUCCAUUGUUUUCUUCUUGAUCUUUUUCUGUCAGCAGCGACGCUGGUUGCAUACUCUCUCCCCUGUGUUUGUUUCAACUGGGCCCCGUUAUUCUGGGAGUCUAUGUUGCCUGCCUACCGAAAUUGCCACUACUUUGGGCCCUUCUUUGGUCUCCUUGAUUCGUGGUUGGCAUGCCAUUAGAUCCUGUGCUAACAAACACUGGACUUGUUUGUUUGUCCAAUUUGGAUCAGCACACUCGACUCCAUGGACGAUGGCCGGGACCCCAUGCCCAAGAUGACGAAGAGAACAUCAUCGGGUCCUACCUUGACAUGGAUGGCACCUCACACAAGGUUGAUUUCCUUCUUUGCUUGCAUUAAUAAAGGUUUCUUCUAGUACUGUGUAUGUAUGUAUGUAUAUAUGUUACAGAAUAAUAAGUAGCUCGGUCAGGAUUGGGUUGGGCUGCAUGCCUAGUUUGUAUUCUGCAUGGUUGUGAAUCAAAAGUACCAGGGCUGUGCUGGGUUGGGUGAGCUUUGUCAUGUGUUCGGUUUACUGCUUGAUUGGUGCCACUAGACAAAAUUAUGUAAUUUGCGUCAUGAGGUCUCAGGCUAGUCCAAUUGUGGUAUCAAUUUGAAUCAUGAGAUUUGGUCUAGCUACAUGAUGCACGUGUUCUUCCUGAUGGUCGCUUAGUAGCUAACGAAUGAAGGAAUUCCCUCUUGUUCAAUGAUGCUAUAACUGAUAAACAUUAUGUGCAUUCAUUCGAAAGUGAGAGAGAUCUUCAUCUGUUUGUUGCAUAUAGCUUGAAGCUCGCUCAAGUUUCUUUUUUUGUGGUAGCGAGACGGCAGGAUCGACUGUUUGCUUAACAACUCUGGUGCUUUAUUAUUAUGGAUAAUGUUCAGCUACCUAUUUGCAUUUAUUGUUACGACAUUUUUGUGGUAGUAAGACGACAGGAUUGACUGUCUGCUUAACCACUCUGUAGUGUUUGAUUUCUCAGAUUAAACAUGGAUCACAAUCAUUAAGAUGUUUCUUCAUGUAGCACUGAGAAGAAUAGGCUUCUUGUGUCAGUAGCUUUUUCCUAUAAUGAUGAGUAGAAUAGGCUUCUUGUGGCUUUAGCAUGUUCCUGUAAUGCCGAGAACAAUAGGCUUGUUGUAGCUAUAGCAUUUUCCUAUAACACUGAGACAAACCUCCUUGUAGAUAUAGUUUUCUUGUAGUGCUGAGAACAAUAGACCUCCUUGUAGUUGUAGCUUUCCUGUAGUGCUGAGAACAAAUAAGAGUUGUGCUGAGAACAAGAAAUUCUUGGAUAAUAAUCGUGGCAACCUGCUGCUUUCCUUUUGAUGUUGAAAGAGGUAGAUCUACAGUUGUUUGCAUUGAUGUUGCCGCUCAGCUUUGCUAUGAUUUCAAUGAAGAUUAAUCAGCGUGGUCACCUAUUCUUUUAUUGGUUUUUGGUCUUGACAAAAUUAAUCCAAGGUAAUCAGAUCAAGUUAGUACUAUUUUGGGGUACCUGUUAUCUAUAUGUUUGGUUAUAUGAUAGUCAUCCCCAGUAAAACUAGGAAUACAAAUGAUGACUGGCUGACUUACCAAUUACUUGAUUAUAUCUCUUUCAUUUACAAGAGACAAUAGUCAUUGUGUUCUUAACUCCCAAUGCUCUGUUUUCAUGUCUAGUUUUAUCACCACUGAACUAAUCGGUACCUUUGAGCGGAGCUCUCAGCUCAAUCCUCCCAUUAAUGAGCGAGCAGUAGGUUCUAUUAUGCAUGUUUUCACUACCAGCAACGAACUAUCUUUUUUGGGUAACUUGUUGUUUUUUAGCCUAUUAUGUGCAUGUUGUGCUGACAAGGGAUUUGUCGGUUAUAUUUGUCUGGCCAGUCUAAUAUGUACUUCAGAAUCGCUUCUGUUAGAUUUCAACAUUUGUCCCAAGAUUUUUGGUGGCACAAACAAUGAUUGUUGUCAGUGUGUGAAAGGCUGACCUCCUGUUGAGCCCAAUGAUAGAACAACUAUCUAAUGGGUUGUAUUGUGUUCAAGGGUUCACUUCACUGUGCUGCAAACAUCCAGAAUGCUUAUUUUCUUAUCUUCGGCAUAUAAUUUGUUGUAUUGUGUUGAUUUCAGCUAGAAUAAAUCGAGUUUUGUGAGACUAGGGUCUGUCUAUAUCCUGUGGAUACCUAUAUUUGCCGCCUUUUGUUUGCUUUGAAUGGGACACCACCUAAUAUUAUCAGUAAAUCGACUUCAUGAGUGCUAUUGUACUAGAUUUCUAAAACUGAGAGAAGGCCUAAUUCUAAUGUGGUGUGAUGCACUUUUUAGUUUUUUAGGAUUUUGGAAGAGUUUGACUUGACAGUCCUUAGUCAAUUCUAUUGUGUAUUGCAGAUUGACAUUCAUUAUAAUCAUGGUGACUGUGCGUUGCAUUUUAGAUGUAUUGUCUAGUUCUUUGACCAUCUUUUAUAUUCCAACAAGUGUGAAUAAUAAUAGUAGUAAUCCACUUCUGGACUUUUUCUUCUUGGCUAAUAAUAUUUGUAUUAUUGCGUAGAACUGUAGUUGUAAGUUCACUUACAUCUUAGUAAGGAUGCAAUAUUAAGUCAGCCUUCAUUUAUUGAGUUUUUAAGUUUAGUGGAUUACAAUUACUUGAAUCUGCAUUUCAGGCUGUUGAGUUUGAUCAGAAUGACACCACAUUGCCACAUUGCUUUCAAACAGAAGCCUUUGUUGGCUGGGCAGGGCAAGGUGAACGUGCCUUGGAGGCACGACUCCAUGGACGAUGACCGGGACCCCAUGUCCAAGCUUACGAGGAGGACAUCGUCAAGUCUGACCUCCACCUGGAUGGCGCUUCGCACAAGGUUGAUCUCCUUCUUUCCUUGCAUUCAUUAAUGGUUCUUCCUGUAGCACCGAGAAGAAUGGGCUUCUCGUGGCAGUAGCUUUUUCCUAUAAUGCUGAAAAGAAUAGACUUCUUGUAGCUUAAGCAUGUUCCUGCAAUGCAGACAACAAUAGACUUGUAGUUGUAGCAUCUUCAUAUAAUACUGAAAAAACCAAACCUCCCUACAGAUGUAGCUUUCUUCUUGUGUUGAGAACAAUAGACCUCUUUGUAGUUGUAGCUUUCCUCUAGUGUUGUGAACAAUAGACCUCCUUGUGGUUGUAGCUUUCCUCUAGUGCCGAGAACAAAUAAGAGUUGUGCUGAGAACAAUAAAUUCUUGGAUAACAUUCAUGGAAACCUGCUAGUUUUCUUUUGAUGUACGCAAAUGAUGACACACAUGAAUAGCAAGCAACCAUCUUAGCACCUAUCUAUUUCAAAGAUGUGUUAUUUUUUUUACUGGGUAUAUGAUAUCAUUCUUGUGUUACAAAGUUCAUCUGUAAAAGUUGGGCUGCUUACUUUCUAGGAGCAGAUUCUGUAAUCUUUUCCUCUUCUUUUACCAGAAGUUGACUAGUUUUAUUACUGACAUACCAAUAUUAUUAGGACGGUGACAGCCAACGACCCAGCUAGUGUGCCAUGGGAUUCCAUUCGUUCCAAGUUGCUACACCUUUGGCUCGGGCAUGUUCAACAUGGAUGGCAUUAGUUGAAUCUCGCUGAGCACUGGGGUGCAAGUACAUGGCUAUUGCCGGUAAGAAUUUCGCCCAAGCUUGAUUCUGAAAUGAUUAUUUGCCGAGAUAGGCAGUCAUCCUCCAUUGUUUUCUUCUUGAUCUUUUCUAUCAGCAACGAUGCUGGUUGCAUGCACUCGUGAGGAUCACCACCAUCAAGUCCACCUAUUGUCAGGUGACUACUCUCUCUCCCUGUGUUUGUUUCAACUUGGCCGCGUUAUUCUGGUAGUCUAUGUUGCCUGUCUACCGAAAUUGCCACUACUUUGGGCCCUUCUUUGGUCUCCUUGGUUUGUGGUUGGCAUGCCAUUAGAUCCUGUGUUAACAAACACUGAACAUGACAUGGUACCGCUGACAUCAUAGUUGACGUUGGUAAUUUUCUUGUGGUGUGGCCAUCAACCAAUGUAGUGCAUAUUUAGACUUUUAGGCUAUGUGACUUUUCCUGCUAUAAAAUGUGUGUGGUGCAUAUUGUUCUUUUUGCUGCUCUGUAAAAUUUUACAUUGCUUUGGAAUGAUAUAUGGAGGCCACUAGUUAAUCUUGCUUCUUCCUCUUUCUCUGGCCAGGUCACUUGGAACUUUGAUAUAGCGAAGGGCGAGAACACCGUUGGAUGGAGCUUGUGGCCCAGCUUGGUAAAUCUGAGCUUACUGUUUGGUUUUCGGUUGCUGCUGCUGAAUGUGGGUGGUGUGGAUCAUCAGUUUUGGGGGCCUGAUUGCUGCCUUGGCUUGUUUUGCACUCAAAAGAAGUGUUGUUGACUGACUCUUAUUAGCUUGAGGUGUGAUUGAAGAAGGUCAUGAAGCUUGAGGCAAUGAAGAUGAUGGAUGGACCCGUUCGUUGAUUAGUUAGGUCUUUUCAUAAUUGUGAAUAGUAGCAAACAAAUGAUAGGUUGGUUUGUUUGUCGUGGAACAUGUCGGUUUGGAGUAGCAAGUAGCUAGCUAGCUCUUGAGAUUAAAAUCCUGGUAUCUCACAGUUGUACUGCUCACACAAUAUAUUGGUGAUAUCUCAGUUAUAAUACCAUACACAAUUGUUAUGGUCCUCAAUCUCCGGCUACCAAACGUGUUAUGCU